GGGGCUGACUGGUUUUGACAGCAUUUGAAUGGAUAAGUAAGCAUGCCGGGCAAGGUAACAAAACCCGUAAAACUAAGUUACAAUCUAUUUUAUUUGGCGAAAACAAUUACGCUCUCGCAGCCUAGUCGAAGUUUAGUAAACUGGCUUAAUCCCUGGUCAAGGUUACCGGGGACGGGACGGCUCGCAGGUGGAGAUGUUCGAUUCCGGCCUGAUAUCGAGUCGCAAGCAAUUUCGAACUGGUUCUGUUUUUGUCUGGAGAACAGGAUGAGAUAAACAGACUAAGGUAAUAUUUUGGGUGUUUGUCCCCGUAUAUUGCCCUACAACCAACGACAAACUAAGCAUGUAGAAAGCUUAUUGGUUCCGUGUUUGGACGAGGGUUCGAAUCCCUCCAGCUCCACA
Molecule: transfer-messenger RNA, 399 nt
Filed under: marine eukaryotic metagenome
Rfam family: transfer-messenger RNA
About the family: Bacterial tmRNA, also known as 10Sa RNA or SsrA, is named for its dual tRNA and mRNA-like properties. Its role is to liberate the mRNA from a stalled ribosome. To accomplish this part of the tmRNA is used as a reading frame that ends in a translation stop signal.
Source: RNAcentral